ACCCUCAGCAGAACGACUUUCAGGGCUGCAGCAGCACUUCCACCAUGGUUGGGUACUUUGUGAACUGGUACUGCCAUUUGGAGGAUGGCUUGGUCCAGCCUAGAAGUCAAAAUCUUGGAAAAAUAGACUGCAGCAGUCCCUCAGAUGUUUGUUUCAAGUGUUGGCUGUUCCACCAGUCUUCCAUGUUACUCUCUGUAGCAGUAUUACUGGUAACUGGGUGAUGGAGAGCGGAAUGGGAAUGUGAUAAUGCAAGGUUCUGGCAAGGUUCCCCUUGGGGAAUCAAAAUACCAGGCCUAGGCUGUUUCCCUUCUUUCUUACUGGAAAGGAGCUAAGAAGAAUUGCCUGAGAAUGGUGCUGCACAUGACAGGCAGAGCUACAGACUAUGGGUAUGGACUCUUUAGCUUCCAAAUCUGGAGGAAGUUCUGGUAUUUAACAAGACAGAGCUUUGCUACUUUGCUUUUUCUUCUUGCUCGUUACAGAAACAUGCUGUAAAAUGAAGUAGUAAUAGAAAAGGUUAGUUUUCUGCAGAACUUUGAGCCCCCCACUAGAGAUUUUGAAUUCUCCUAGCUUAACGCAGUGAAGAUUUUCUUUUCCUGAAGAACCAAGUGAUGGGUUUUGGGUGUAUUUUUUCUUAAUGGACUAUUUUACAAAGUAAUUCCGCACUGAGGAACAUAGAAUUGAUGUAAGAUAGGCUAAUAGUGUUGGUAUAUCAUCUACAGAACCACAUGUAAUUUCUGUUCGCUCCUACCUUUUAUUCUCACUAAGUUGGUUAAUUCCCUGGGAGUUCCAAGGAAUGCAAUAGGAAGCUGUUAAAUAUUAUGUGUGAUUGGGAAUUUAUUGAAUUGUCACUUAUAUCAGCCUUGGCACCAAAGAAAUGGGAUGUAGCAAACCUGACACCAAUUUUUAAAAGACUCAAGGAAAUUGCAUACCAGGCAGUUUGUCUUCAGAGCAAGGCAAAUUUGAAGACACUUGAAAAAAGCAUAGAUUGAUAAAUACAUAGAAAAGUAUUAUAUAUUUUGGAGUCGGUUUCUUUCAAAAAGCACUUAGUGUUUGCAUCUGUAGCUACUGACUCAAAGAUUUCAACAAGCACACUGAAAGUGGUUGUUCUGUCCCUAUAGCAGUGAUUUUCAGAGCACCUUUUUGCAAGAGUCUAGCAAAGGUUCUUUGAAAGUUGUCAGGGAACAAAACAGAAGGGUGUCCACAGAUUAAAAAUUGAUCAGAAGAGGAGAUAAAGGAAUAAAUGAUCAGCUCCCACAGCAGAAACAUCUAAGGAUGUUUCUCUUCCACAGUUAAUACAAGGAGAAAUUAAAUAGACAAGAACUUUUCCACUUGGAAAGCUCCAUGGUGGGACAUGACAGAAAGCUGUACGAUCCUGUGUGGUGCCAAGGGAGUGAAGGGGAAGGGUGUGAGCAUGCAGCAGCCAUCGGGGCCUCCUGGAUUCCUGCACGUGCCCGUGCAAACACUGCAGAGCUGCAGUGCCAAGGUGAUGGACUGCAGUCAGGCUGGGGAACGCAGAGAGAUCCACCCAGCCUGAGAAGCAUGUCUUCUCUGGGCUGUCCCUGACUAUCACCCGGAAUAUAUUCAGGGAACCAUACUGAAAGGAAAUACAUUUAUUCUUCCUCUGGUCUGGGAUUUUGUUUGUUUAUCAUUCCCCUAGCAAUGUGUAGUCUUGGCUUUAGAGGCAGGGCUGACGCAGAAGAUUUAGAAGCAAAUCUGAACUCACUUGGAUCAAGAGUUUGUAUUUGAAUCCAUAUAAGCUAGAACCCCAUGUUUAUUGCUCUGUAAAGACAAAAUAACCAGAACAAUAACAUGCCUGGCUGGCAAACCCCAUGUGCGUCAUGUUUCUUUUAAAAGGCACUUACUGCUUGCCACGUAUGCCCACAGUAAAACAGGAAAAGCUAUAUUGUCAUUUAAAAAAUGCUAAAUUUUAAACAACAACAUAAACAAAGUAAAAUAACAUCAUUAUACCCUUUGAAUUUCUUUUCCAUCUUUUCAGCACUGAAACACAAAACAAAGACUAAUGUAAUAAUUUAACUUUGAACAGGAAAUUGCAAGUGUUAGUGAAGUGAAUGUAGGUAAUAAUUGUAAAUGCUAACACUGUCUAUUUAUUAUUUGCUGGUUAUGAUUAAAUAGUUAAUACUCAUAAUUAUUUCAAUGAAAAUGCCGAUGACAACUAUAGUUACUGUUGUAUAGGAUUUAAUUCAAACCAUCUGUUUUCAUCCACUUGUAUAUAUCCUUGCUUGCAGUGAAGUGUUUUUCUGGAAGUAAAAAGUGAUUAUUAAGGGAAUGGAAAUUAUUAAUGGUUCAUGGCUUGGCAAGGAAAAUAAAUGCUUUUUAAAGUUCCUAGUGUCUAUAUUCAAGGGCUUCUGCAACAGAAAUGGUUGAGGACAGAAUGUAAUGCAGAAGUGUUUUCUACCAUAUGCUAUGCCUUGAUAUUUGGGAUUGGUCUGAGGAAGGUGUUAGAAGGUAGAAGUCAGUGGUCUGACUUCUACACCACUUAACUAGAUCCAUUUAUUUCAUUGAGCAAGGGAAAUAUGAGUAAUGUAUUACAAAGAAGGUAUGUGAUACUGGUGAACAAUAUGGAAAAAUGCUGGUGUAUACAAGGACAACAUGAUUUAUCCUCUAGCAAACUGUUUCAUUCCCUCAUUUAUUAUUCAUUGUAUUUGUAGUGUAUGGUUGUUUGCGCUAACUAGUUUAGUUAGCUUUGAAUGUAGCUGCCUCAUCUGUUCUAGUCAGAAACUGCCCUGUUAUCCAAGGAUGCCUCCACUUGGCUCCAGAGCUCAGCACUUCCUGCUGUGAAGAUCUAUUAAACCACUUCACAGGAAAAACACUUACAUCUACUUCUACUCUACAAGUAAUGAAAUGAAUGUGAGGUCAAUAACUUACUAUCUUUCUUUUCUGAGUCCGUAUCAUUUGCACAAUAGGAAGCUGUAGAAGAUAAUCAGAAACAAACAGGGUAUCUCCUGUUACUCAUGACACAUGCUUUUCAACACACCUAGAGCCUUUCAAAAUUAAAUUAAAGUCCUGGCUGGAUUGUGUCAUGCUUUACAGAGGUAGAAGGCAAGAAGACUUUGCAGCCCUCUGGGGAAUCCAGCUGUCACAGCUGAGACUGUUCAGCUGCCCAUUCCCUGCCCAGCUAAUUAAAUGGUUACAUGCAUUUCUACAGAGGUACUUGCACGAGUAUUGCAGAACCCUCCAGAAUGAGACUUCACCCUAAGAGAGGCAGCAAACACCAAACUGGUGGAAUUCACUGUGGUUGCCCCAAGUAUCAAAGUGCUGUUGUCUGUUAGCUUUCUCCUGUACAUGAGCACUGCUCGUUGUUCGAAGUAGGUUUUUCUCUGAGUUGCUCUUUCUUUGCUUCACAAGUCAAGAAGCGUUUGUUUUUUACCAGGAGGAGCAUGCUUUACAGAAUCUGGCCUCCUGGGCAUGUUUCCCUGUGUUUCCCUGUGGUGCAAUCUUGUGAGUGUUUUGUUGAGAUAAGUGAGUGACAGCUUCCAGUUAGUGUUCGGCAGGAGGGGAGGGCUUCUUUCCGAAAGUGCUGACCACCUCAGCAUAACUGCAUCCUCCUUGCAGAGGUCUCAGCCUGACAAGUUAUCUUAUCCCCCCAAAACAGCAGACUUGACAGCCUGCUGCACCUUUUUAUCUAGCUGGUAGACUUAGAGAGCAGUUCUAGUUACAGGAAAGAACUGUGCAAGGAUUACAUCUAUCAGGGUUACUGUUUGGUCUGUGUUGUCCAACUUUGUAACAGAAGGCUUGAUUGUAAGUUAUUGUUAAAUGCUGUUUUUCAGUUAUGGUAUCUUGUUACUGUUGGAGUUAAACGUGUUUUUUCUUUCCAUUUCUUCAGCCAAAAGUGCAGUUUGUCUUAAAAGAGUUAGGAUCUGUUUUCUUUCUGUUUAAAGUGUCAACAGUUAAUGUCUUGCUUUUUAACUCCGUUAUAUUCCCUUGAAAUCCCUUAAGAAACAUGAGAUUAUGACCAUGACAAAACUUUGCCCUUCCAUGUGUUUUACGUCUCAGCAACUUGCAAAGAUGUGUGAAAUACAAUUAAGAUCUCCAAGAUGCCUGUGUAUACACACAGACUUUCUAGAAAAAGCAUUACUUUUCGCAGUCAUAGCUAUCCCUUAAAAAAAAAUAAAAAAAAAAAAAAAAGAGAGAGUUAUGGAGUAUUGGACUUAGGAUGUGUUUUUUAACCCCCUUUAAGAAAACAGGUGGGGACCAAAAAAAUGCCUUACAUUGAUAGGGAUUGUGGUUUUAAACAGGGAUGGUCUAUGUUAUUCUAUUUGCCUAUGGAAAUCCCACUAUGUAGUUAAUUAUAUUUAUGAAAAGCCGCUGUUAAUCUUCUAACAAAUUACUUUUACAAGAUGGAUAUUUCUCCUUUACUAGAGUUAACCCUCCCUGACUUCUUAAAUGGUUGAGGAAGUCCCACAGCAUUUCCUUAUUGUUUGCGUAGUACACCAUAGCUUAUUAAUUGCAGAAUGUUAGAAAUACUUGUGAAUUUUAGAAGAAUACAUAUGAAGUUCUCUUUCCUUUAAAUCUGAGCAAGGCUUGUUCUUAGGUAAGGAAUAAAAAUUCCUAACUCCCUAUCUGGGAUGUCUGCAGCACAGAUAUAUGUGUCCCUUAAAAACAGAGCUGGCCUAAUCAAAUCCCUGCAGCCCAGUAUGUGGGAGAUGUCCAGAAAGACUCUGUGCAGAGCACUGAGGCUAUUGUGACUUCUCAAGUAGAGUUAGUUAGUUCAAGUUAGUUCAGUGCUAAGUCAUGAGUGAGAUUUGUUUUACUGAUUAAGUCUGUUUUUUCUGUUUUUUUUUGUUUGUUUGUUUGUUUGUUUGUUUUUGUUUUUGUUUUUGUUUUUUAUAAUUAGUAUUUAGCUUAUACACGAAGUGUGAAAUUCCCAUUUUCAGUGUUACUGCUUUCUGGAGGGAAUAUGCCCCAACUACCUGAGUUGUCCCUAGCAGCCGUACCCGCCAUCAGCGUCAGCAGAAAGACAAAAGGGUUGCAAUAACCUGAGCCCUUCAGAUGAGGCUGGGGCGUAUUUACAGGAAUGGAUAAGGUUCCUAAGCCACUUACUUGUCCAGUAGUAGACAAAAUCCCAAUGCCUCUAGGAAGAGUAAUAGCUUUGUAAUAGAGACAUUGGUCUGAAACAAGCUUUCAACAUUUGGCUUUGCCACAGAAAUUCUUCUGUGUCCAUUGCAAAUUGGUUAAUAUCUGUGUCCCAGCUCCCCAGCUAUAAAGAAGGCACUUGGAGAAGAAAUUCCGUAAUCUGCUCAAGUUGAUCAGAUAUUUUGGUGAUGAAAUUGCGAAAGUUAUGCAAUACUGCCUGUCAACAGCAUUGCAUUUAUUGUGCAGAGGAAAACAACAGAAAAAUAUAUGUAGUCUUCCAACACUGACAAAGCUGGCAGGCUGCCUCCUCUGCCAAGGCAGGAGAAGGCAGCUGUCUGUUUCUCAGUAGGUAGGGGACAGCACUGUCAAGCAGAGAAAAUACUGAUGUUUCUCCCACUGCGUAUUUGAUUUCUGCAUAAAUCUGCAUACUUGCAGGAACUCUGCUUUUCUUCCAACAGGCAAGGACUUGUACUACUGUGAGCCCAUAACUAAUUGUUACCAUGGGAAACUAUGAAAUGGCCACCCACACUUUUGUAUCUGAAUAGAGCUUGUGUUCAGACACACUCUUCAAUCAGUGUGUGGAGAUGUACACAGUGUAUAUGUGUGUUUCUUCCAAAUGUAGCAUGGGAAGUUGAAAUACAAAAGGUUACGUUUAAUGUUAAAGAUUUUGGCAGCAUCAGCAACACCUGGAACGCUUUGUCUGUGGGGCUGCUCAGGUAGGAGAGGUACCCAGAGUGCUGCUUGCUUCAGUUCAUUGGUGUGCUCAGAUCGUACAGCAGGACAUAGCCACUCACAUGAAAUUCUCCCUUUUCUUGCUUUACUUGUUGCCCAGUGUGACCCUCCAGCCCUUCUCCCUGCUGAAUAACAUGAUCCAAAAAUAAAAAUUCAAAUGGAGCUUUUCAAAGUAGACAGUAUUUUGAUUAAAAUUAUGAACCUAUUUUUCCCCUUUGCCAGUUCACUGGAAAGACUGAAUUAUCCUAUGUGAAGUUUUCUAAAAUUGUCAUGAGACGUGCACCUGAUUAGAAGGUCUCCACUCAGAUGAGUGGAGCUGGGAGAUGUCCUGAGUGACCCAAACAGCAAAGGGUCUCAGCUAGGACAGGGGCAGGGGGUGCUGCAGGCCUAUGGCUUGUGCUACGCAGCAGCUGCUUGAGCAGGAAGCAUAUACAAGCAGCUUCUUGUAUCAACAUCUAGGUUUAACCUUUAACAGGUUAGAAUUGACUAUUUUCAAGCUGCUUAGUUUUUGAAAGCUUUUAGAUAUGCGAUUGAAGGCAGGCUGCUUGCUAGCAAGCUGCACUGGAAAAUCAUUAGGGUCAAAAGAUGUAAUUGUUUCGCUAUUUAUGUGUCAGCGGAGCAGACCAAGUGCUUCUGUGACUGUAGAGAGGAUCUCUGUGAAGCAGGUUAAAACAUAUUGAAAUGUUGUGGAAAAGGCUGCAUUGUCACUGGCUGAACUGCACGUUUGCUUUGGACUGUGAAUUUGGCAGCGUUUUGUGAGACGAAAGAACCACCAGCACUAGAGUACAAUGCUUGGCUUCCUCCCUGUCUUCAAAACAGCCUAAUCUGCCAAAUUCUUGUGUGUACAAAAUACUGACUGGAUUAAUAUAAAUGUCAAUUAUAACAUCGUUUGGGACAGCAAGCAAACACUUGUUCCUUCCUGACAUUUUGGUGGUGUGUGUGAGCACCUUUAGCACCAGCAGGUCCCGUCCUAAAUAAAGGACCGGGCCACACAUGACACACAAGCAUGGACCUUAGUGAUCUUUUAACUGUGAAGCUUUGUGUCUUUUGUUAUGUUGGUUCCCUGCUCUCCUCCUUUUUUGUUUUUGGGAUAUGUCUAAUCUGAAAAGAUGGGUACUGUAGAUAUUAUUAAUCUGAGUAUGGUGGAAGUGCUGCUGUUUAGCCUUGGAAUUUCAGGGGUGAGAAGAUGACUACAGACACCUAGAUUCUUGAUGGGAGCUGGAAAAACAAUAGGCAUCUAAUUGCCAUAUUGUUUGUUUCCUCUUAUUUCCUUAAAUUACAACUUUAAACAAAGAGAUCUCACAUCAAACUAAAAUCUUUUACCGGUUGUGGAAUUAACAACUAAAAACGUUGAAAGUGAAAGUAGCAAAUGAAAUCUCAGGAAGCAUACUGUUGUGCAGUACCUAGCUUUCCUGUUCUAAGAAAUUCCCUACUAGAGAAGAGACAUACUAAAAGCAUGUCUGUUUUAUGAAAGUUUUACUCUUUUACUUAUUCUCAGAAUUUUAAGAAUUAGUUAAAUUAAAUUGCUUAAAUACAGGCAGAACAUGGUUGAAGGUACAACAGAUUUUAAUGAUCCUAGAAAAUAUCUUUCUCAGUGAAAUAUCAAUAUUGCAAAUUUAAAGAAGAAUACUUUUAAUUGUUUUUCUGCCCUGAGGGUAGCUUGUCUAGGUAUUUAUCUGUAUUUUUGAUGAGUUACCUUAAUAUUUUGCAAGUGCUACAUUGGCCACUUAAAACGUUUUUAUAGAUCUCUUAGUAAAUAAAUUGCUGGUUUCAAUUCCUUCAAAUUACAUAAAAGAAUUCAAAUAUUUGUCACAUGAUAGUUGUGAUUGUAGAACAGUAGGAACAAUGGGAGUUUCUAAUUGACUGCAUUUUUCUUUCACUUUCUAGAAUACCUUACUGAAGAGGAUGGAUUAUUCCUAGGAGAAUGCUUGACUUUAAAGUGUACAGUGUAGUACAUAAGAACAUAUUCUAGAUGUCAUAUUUAAUUCCUUUGCCAAAGUAAUCUUUUGAAACAUGAAGAAAAAAUUGUAAUAAUACAGUGUUAUUUUAAAUAACUCAGAGAAAAAUUGCACUUACUUGCACUUUCAACAACAAAAUUCUGCUAUUUAAAAAGACUGCAAAACUGUUUUGAAUUUUUCUAUUGUAUGUUGUUCUGAUUUUUUUUUCAUCCAUUACUGUGAACUUUCAUCAUGUUGAGCUUAGCCCAAAGGUUUCCUGUGUUCCAGCUUUUUAAGGUACCCAACCUGUGUAAAUACAUUAGGAUAGUUCUAAACCAUUAAAAACAAGAGGAGAUAAAUGUGUUCAAAGUUCAAAUGUGUUCUGCUGGCUUUUAUCAUCAGUGUGAAUCAUGUCGCAAUUUAGAUGCUUAAAAUAGUUCGUUGUUCAUAAAACACAGCAAAAUACAGCAAAUGAAGUCUCUUUAGAGGAGGCAGAAAACCAUAGUGGGCAUUUCACUUUGGUGCUGUGGGAGGUUUCUUAUGGGAAGGGGCUAGUUUUUUUCCGUUUGGGUAGUUCAAUCUUUAUUUUGAAUUAUUGUUGGUGCACUUGGAAUGUUGAGUGUGUUUUGAAAGUUGUGGAAACUGAAAUCCUUUUUUUUUUUUUUUUGUCCUUAAAAAUGAAACAAUAUAGGAAGUUAAAGUAAGUAUAUGCUUCUAGAAUAGCAUUAGAUCACAACCAUUUCAAUAAACCAAAUUCAGUCAUCCUGGUGAAUCAGAUUCUUACCUCUUUCUGUUAUUCCUCAAGACCUCCAGCUUAAUUACACACAGCUUGCAGAAUCAGUGAACAAAUAUUUAAAAAAAAAAUUAAAAGCCUGAAAGAUGACAUUUCUUGGGCCAAAUACAGGGAUGCUCCUGUAUCUGGACUGAAGCUGACAGCUCAUCCUUAAAUCCAGGAGGCACAGUGUGCCAAACCACCAAAGCCAUGUAGGGGAGUAAAACUGUUCAGGAUUAUCUUUUUUCCAUCUUGCAUUAUCAUUAGUGCGCUGACAUAAAACAGCACGUAUUUAAGAAGCGAAUAUAGUAGAAGGGAGCUCAUCUCAGUCUGUGUAAGGAAAAGUCGACCACUUAGACGUAUGAGGGCAGCAGCGUUUGCAAGGAUAACCAGGAUGGGAACCAGAGAGUUUGGGUCAGGGAAGGGAGGUGAAUGUUGAAGUUGCUCAAGCAUCUAUGCUGACAUCUGUUCUUGUCUAUAUGCUCAUAACCAACUCAGAAAACUGUUCUUGUCUAUAUGCUCAUAACCAAAUCAGAAAAGGAGAUAAAUGCUGAGGUAGAAGUAGUUUGCUGAUGCUCCGCUAGGUUACUUUGAACUGUAAAUCAGUGGGUCAGCCAAAGAGCUGCAGAGAGACCUUACAGGGCAAGCGUCCAGGUAAUGAAUCAGCAAAUUAAAGUCAGUGUAGAUAAAUGUCAAGUGAUGCAUGUAAGCAAGAUGCAGUCCUCAUUUUGCAUUUAAAUUCAGGGGCUCCAAACUUUAUGACUCAGCCAUGGGAUUUUGCAGCUGUGAUUGCUCCCUGAGGCCAGCUCACUGCUCAUCGUGUGCAGUUCCACUCUUCCCAACCAAAACAAUGUAUGGCAGAGCUGGAAAAAUGCAGAGAAGGGCACCAGGGAUGGACAACACUAUGGAACAGACUCUGUGCUGAGAACAGCUGUGGUCAUACUCUUUGGUUUAGAAAGGAGGGAGAAGGAAAUCUAAGAAAUGUCUAUAAAGUGAUAAAUGACAGAGGGAGCAGAGGGAGUAGUGUGAGGAUUGCUGUCUGCCCUAGUAAAAAAAAAAAAAAAAAAAAAAAAAGAGUUACCAAACUAGGAGAAGGGACACAUAGAACAUUUUAAAAGUUGGUUUUUCAUGUAAUGCAUGUUAGGCUGUCACUCUCCAGAACCAUGGAUCCUUAACGCAGGUCAAUUUACACCUGUGGGUGUAGCUUAUUUUACACUGUGUUUCAGGAUGUGCAGAAUAAUGAAAGUAAUGCUGGUUGGGUCUAGUCCACUUGACACUAAUUAUUGCGGCUGAUACUGCUUUUGGAGUAACAUGUCAAAAAAUACUGUUAAUUGACAAGAAAUACUACACAGACAAUAUUAAGACUGCAAAAGGUUGCCCAGAGAAGCUGUGGAUGCCCUGUCCCUGGGGGUGCUCAAGGCCAGGCUGGAUGGGGCUUUGGGCACCCUGGGCUGGUGGGAGGUGUCCCUGCCCACGACGGGAGGUUUGGAAGUAGAUGGUCUUUAAGGUCCCUUCCAACCCAAACUAUUCGGUGGUUCUGGCAUUAAAAACAGUAGAAGAGUAAGGGUCUCUAAAGUCCAUGUGCUUUUCCACAGAAGUUUCCUUUUUCUGCCAACCUUAUGCUAGAGUUUAAAGACAUUAUGUCUGAGGGAAAACUGUGUUACUGAGCAGAAGGAGUAGAAACAGCACAGAAUCUGUGCAGUUCCUGUGUUGGUGUGUCCUUCAUCCUGGUAGUUGUGGUAUUUCCACAGCAAAUAGUAGAAAUUAUGAAGUCACUAGUCAGCUUCAGGGAGUCCUUGGCUCCUUCUCUGCUUUUGGUAUGAAGUGUCAUUCCAGUUACAGUUAAAAAAAAAAAUGGGAAAAAAACAUCAGAAGAAAAACUUUAGAACAUUUCAGAACAAGGAUGGGCAGUACUCAGAGUCUCUUUUGGAAAUGCCUUCUGCAGCCAGAGUUUUUCAGCUGAGGAGGCUUUAUCCCUCCCCAGGAUCUGCAGCUAUGUCCAAGAACACAUGCUCUUGGCAGCAGACUGCUGCCGUCUGAUGUAGCUGGGGAACUGAAAAUAACUGUUGUAAGGGAAAAACUUCAGACGUAAAAGACUUCAGUUAUCUAAUGUUGUUUGUUUUUAGUAUAUUUUGGGUGAUAAGAGAAUUGGAGGGUUUGGGAUUCUUUUUUUGUUUUCCUCUCAAAAAUCAGCAGCUAAGCAGUUUAUGCACAAAGAUAAUACAGGACAUAGUGAAGUGUGUUAAACCUCCUUUCACUUGUGUAAUCAGAAUUCUCUCUCCACCUUUUUAAAUGAUGUGGAAAAAAAUUAGUGACUGAAAUCAAUAUUCUGUCUUUUAUACUCUUUCAUAACUGCAAUUUGGCUUAUUUUACAAUUUCAUAAUUUAUGUUAAAGGCAAAGUUGUGCAGCUAUCCAUAAUGUUGGGUAAAUAGUUACCAAUAAAACCUUAGCACAUUUGGUGAAAAAGAAUUUUUUUAAAACAGAGUGGUUCUUGUAUCAGCUCAUUGUUUUAACAGGGUGUACUGCUUUCAAAUAACUGUUUCUAGUGCCUAUUAAUUUAAAACAAUCUCACCAGCAACAGCUGUGGGAGGAUUAUGACCCAUCAAAGGUAAGAGGCAAUGUAAUUUAGAAUCAAUAAAUCCCUAGCCUAUAGUGGUGUUAGAAUUUGAUUUGAAAUAAGUGAAAUACAUUAAUAUUAUAACUAGCACAGCAUAUUUUGAUAAAUUAUCUUUAAAAGCAGUCGAUGUCUUUAUAUAAAGUGCAGACUUCACAGCAGAACCAUACAUAUAGAUAAAAAUUACCAAAAUUUACACUUACAAAGGACCUUACAUUUGUGACUGUCAAAAUAGUUAGUAAAUUAACAGAGAUUUAAUAUAGAAUCACAAUAACAUGUUUCCCAAAUAGUAUUUUUGUUUAGCAAAUGAGGGAAACAGAGAUACAGAGAAAUAAUGAUUUUCCAGAAAUCUUAAAGGGAAUGCGAUGGUUGAGUGUGUCAUGGCUUGGCAGAGAAAAAAUGUAUAUCAUAAUAGAGAGUCAGGUUGCUCAUUUUACUGGGCUUCACGUUUUUCUCUUAUGUUAGCAACAAAGGUGAUGUUUUUAAAUAUUGAACUGUACUUAUAGAUUAUGGUUCAGUAAUACAAUGAACAAUCUUUUUAGACUUUCAUUUACUAAAACAGAAGAUUAAUAGACCUUUGUGUACCUUUACGGUGCACAGGUCAACUCUGAUGUUUGGGAAGAGGGUGAAAGAAAACAACUCUUUUGCUUAUUUUUAUUUUAUGUUGUUGUUUUUUUUUUCUUAACUUCCGUUUCUAUACCCCUCACUGAAGGCUUGAAUUAGAGAGAUUUUCUUGUGUCACUCUUUAGGUUCUAUUAGCUCUUAGUCUGCGGAUAUAAAAAAAAUUCUUGGCAAGUAAUAUCUUGAUAGUUUCACUUACUUACCAUAUAUCAUUUACAAGAGUACUUUGGCUUUCUGAAACAGAGAUGUGUUUAUGCAAUGAUGUGAAGGAUGUCCAAAACCUGAAAACAUAUGCAAAGUAUGCAAAGAAAACAGUGUUAUGGUACUUCCCAUGCUGUUUGACAACAGUGAGCUUAUGAAGUUGUGUUCCUCACAGAUUCUUCCCACUGGGGUCCUUUUUGAAAGAUAGUUCAAUGCCAUGUGAAAGAGGAUAGAGGAAUUGAAUGACAGUGAUUGAGAUUAAGGCUAACCAUGUAGAGGACUGUGUUGUGGAGAGAGUAGCAAGCAGGUCAAGGGAAAGAACCAUUCCCACUGUUCAGCACCCAUGUCUUGUGUCCUGUUUUCUUACUGUGUGGAACUUCUCAGCAGAAGACUGUCAACAGAAGACAAUACAAUGGAUAGCCACUAUAUGGAUGGAGGGCUUAGCACACAAGAAGAUGAAUAAACUAGGCUUUUUUAACCUGAAGAAGAGGAGUCAGACUUCCUAUGACCAUUAGCAUAGCAAGGGCAGUUACAUGUCAGAUGGAGGUGGUUUCUUCUCAGAGGUACACACAAAAGAAUAAGGGGCAAUGGUCACAAGCUGCAACAACAGCCAUCCACUUGGACAUAAAGAGAAAAUUUUUCCAUUGCAAGCAGUUAAACAGUGGAGAAGUUUUUGCCAGAGAAGCUGCAGAAUUUAUCUUCAGAGAUACUCACCAUGGGACUGGGCAAGGCCCUUGGUCUAGCUUUGAAGUUGGCUUUGCUUUGAAGCAGAACUAGAUAAUCACCAAAGAGACUUCCAGUUUAAAUUACUUUGUAAUUCUGUGAUCCCCAAUGGGCUGAGAUGGUGGCUAGUCAGACAUGCAUGUAUAGAGGACCUGACACCCAAGUAUUUCAAAAAUGGAGAGCAAACCCUCUCCAAAGUGGGAGUUGUAUGUAGGUAUGUCCAUGCAUGUUGCAAUACUCUUUUAGUAAAGGUUAAUUACAGUUAUAUCACUUUGAUACUUAUUACAUUCAAAGGUAGGAACAGCAUAUCUACAUUCUGAAUGAGCAACACAUAGAUUUCACUGAUUUCAAGUUGCAUUAGUAUUUAAAUACUGCUAGGAGCAAAUUUUCAGAAGUGCUCUAUAUUGAAGUUUAUAGUCCUAUAAAGAUAAUUUAUUAAUCUCUGUCUGAACAUUUAGCUUUCAAAAGAUUAAAUACGGCUCUUGGUCCCUAAUUUAAUUCUGUAAGGAGCUGAGAACCCUUUGUACCCAACAACACUUGAAAUUAAAGGUUCUUCCUGGAUUUAUUUUACCCCUGUGGGGGAAAUUUGCCAGAAUGUUAAAUGAUUCUGGGAAGCAACACUAGCAAAUUGUUGUAAACUGCUGAAGGUUGUCAGUUCUGCGAUAUCCAUGGCUCUGAGUGGUCACUGAGCAAAACAGGGAAAUGCAAAUGAUAAAAGUGCAGGAAGACCAGAGCAAUUAAAAAAGGUGAACUGGGUAUGAGAGUUUCUGGAAAAGGAUAAAUGAAGAAGGCUGAUACUGCUUUUACCUGAAUAUCUGUGCAGAAUGGGUUCCAGCAAAAAUGUAUUCUAGUUUUUACUUCUCUGGAGUAAAAAAAGGGUGUGUAACAAUUACAUACUUCUAGCAUAAAACAGCACAGGCAAGCAAUAUUUUUAGCUGAUGAAAAUCCAACGCUCUGUAUGUGAGCUGUAUACACACCACAGUCAUCCACAGAAUUCAGUAGAAAACUAUUUCUGUGCUUCUAAAAUUUUGGUUGCAAGACACAAAAUGUAUUAAUGCUUUGAGUUAGGUUGGCUCCAGAAAGUUGGUUUAUGUUUAGGAAGUUCUAAGAUCCUCAGCAGUCUGAGUAGUUUGACCUUCCUGUCUGCUGUCACAAGCUGGACAGCCUUGUUUAUGCUUUGAAUAAUGAAUAAGGAUCUUUAUUGAGGUGAUUCUCUAAAAAGUAGAUAAGUACCACCCUGGAAACAAAUCAUCACCUACGUCCAUCAAGCUCAUGGUGCAUUAGUCUGUUAUGGACAGACAAAACAGGAA
Long non-coding RNA from Oxyura jamaicensis (ruddy duck), 14005 nucleotides. RefSeq lists it as uncharacterized. The record is from RefSeq and is a predicted model, not a curated record. The transcript is spliced from 3 exons. NCBI's taxonomy places the organism in Eukaryota, Metazoa, Chordata, Aves, Anseriformes, Anatidae.